AAGCGAUUUGCCUACAUGGUUGUAACGGGUAACGGGGAAUCAGGGUUCGAUUCCGGAGAGGGAGCAUGAGAAUGCUACACAUCUACGGAAGGCAGCAGGCGCGACAAAUUACCCACUCCUAGGAACGGGGAGGUAGUGAACGAAAAAUAACAAUACCGGACUCAAUGAGGCUCGGUAAUUGAAAUGAGUACAGUUUAAACCCUUAACGAGGAUCUAUUGGAGGGCAAGUCUGGUGCCAGCAGCCGCGGUAAUUCCAGCUCCAAUAGCGUAUAUUAAAGUUGUUGCAGUUAAAAAGCUCGUAGUUGGAUCUCGGGUACUAGCAUGUGGUACGCUUAACUGCGUUACUACAUGUCUGGUCCUAAUCAACCGGUUGGCCGUUGAUGCCCUUUAUUGGGUGUUUUCGGUAGCCGGUACGUUUACUUUGAGAAAAUUAGAGUGCUUAAAGCAGGCCUUACGCCUGAAUAAUGUUGCAUGGAAUAAUAGAAUAGGACCUCGGUUCUAUUUUGUUGGUUUUGUAGAGCAUUGAGGUAAUGAUUAAUAGGGACAGACGGGG
This 553-nucleotide ribosomal RNA is filed under the name uncultured eukaryote. RNAcentral describes it as "SSU rRNA". It matches the Rfam family "Eukaryotic small subunit ribosomal RNA", at positions 330 to 887 of the family's 1831-position model. The record is from RNAcentral.